This 1074-nucleotide long non-coding RNA is filed under the name Theobroma cacao (cacao). RNAcentral's name for it is "long non-coding RNA (TCAC_LNC001719)". Lineage: Eukaryota; Viridiplantae; Streptophyta; Magnoliopsida; Malvales; Malvaceae. The record is from RNAcentral.
AAUACAGUAAGCUAAAAUAUUUAAUUUAAUUUACAAUAACAAGAGGGCCCCCGAAUAAACAAAAGUAAAGAGGACUGUGAACCUACAGUUUGGAAAAUGCAGAUCCAAUGGUAGUCCUCGAUGAGAUCAGCUAUCUACAGUCUAUACUGAACCUGAAAUGGGUGGAAAGGAGUUGGGUGAGAUUUUGCAAUCCCAAUGAGUAAACAGACAUUAUCAUAAAUAUCUAAAGGCGAGUAAAAUGGAGGCAAGUUUAAACAACAAAUUUCAACCCAUUUCAUAAUGUUUUCAAUUUAUUUCUUAAACCAUAAAAUAUUUGUAAUUUACCAAAACAGUUGUUAAGGCUUAUGUCUUUUAUUAAAACAAGGCUCAAGCCAAAACUAAUCCUCGGGGAUACCUUGGCCGAGGCAUCUAACCGAGUCCGCCAAGGGUGUUAAAAUAUUCACACGUGAAACACAUUUUUAUUUUUAAAACCAGCCGUUCCUUGGCGUUGGCCGAGUUACACAUUCACGUGGGGGUUCGACGUGAAGUGAGCUCUAAUACUACCCCGGGAGUUACCCUCCUCGCCUCUACAACCGGAGUAACUAUAUAACUGGGUUUACCGUGCCCCUCUAAUAGGCAGUCCACGGAAACCCGUCACUGCAGUGACUAACCCACCAAUUUUAAUAAAAUUUCGACAGUAUAACGUGGCUUUUAUUUAUUUAUCCAGCCUGCAUAGUAAAAACAACUUACAUAAAUUUCCCAAUGCACUCACAAAAUAUAGCCACAUAUACUCAUUUCUCAUAAGCCAUUCCUAGGAAAAUAUAUAUUUUUCAAGUCAAUUUGUAGCCUCCAAUUACUCAAUUUCAUAAUCAAUACAAUAUAUUUUUAUUUGUCACAUUUAUUCCUAAAACAUCAAAAAUCCCGUUUUAAUCUCGUUUUCAUUUCAUAAAAUACAUAAAGGGCAUUUAAAAAUAAACUCUAGAUAAUUUACAAUAAUAAUAAGUUUACUCACCGUUUGUACAAACUAAAAGCUUUCUAAGCGCCCCGAUCACUACUCGUCGGGUACGACUUCUUUGCCUUUUCCGGAAGGCUCUC